GCAUAGAAACACAGGAAAACCUACGGACACGCGGAGAACGGCGCGCGCGGAAACGUGCUCAGAUACUGUUAUGAGCAGUCGGAGGAGGACACCAAGAACAAGAUUGAGGCUGUGUGGCAGGAAGAGAGUCAUCUCAACAAGGCCAGCUUUGUCUACUCAGGAUAUAUCACCUUAUCUUUCACAAGGUAAGGCUUGUGUAAGACAGAAGCGCAUGUCCCUGCUUGAAAUGAACACAAACUGAACAUUGUAAUAGCUCCUCAUCCCAUCGUGUCUCUGUCCAAUCUCUUCAGAAGGUUGCAUACUGUGGUAAUUUUCUUAUGCCGUUUAAAUGAUUUGUUUAUCAAUUGUAUUCAUUUAACCGACAUAUGAUUAUAUUUUGUUUCCCUGUUAAGUUCAGCCAUGUAAUAAAAUUAUUGCCCCCCAAAUGGAUUUCUAUCUUGGCCGUUGCAGACAAAACUUUGUGUCAAUCAUCAGAAACAAUAAAAGGGCUUGAGUCUUUUUGGCUGGUUACCUCAAAAAUAGUUGGGUCAGCUACGGUAAUGUGAACUGCAGAUAUCCAUCAUAACAAUAUAGUAUGAAUAAAACAUGAACAAUUUAGUCAUUGUGUUUUGCUGUGGUAAAUGUUUAUGAUAUGGUAAAUGCAUGAUAAAACAAUGUGGUUUUGAGACAUUUUAUAGGAAACAAUGGAUGAAAUGUGACUUUGUUUUACGAGAACUCGGGACACCAGCAUUCUUCAUGGCUUGUGUAGACUUUGUACCCGCAUUUUUUUAAUUAUUAUUUUGUA
This is a long non-coding RNA of Monopterus albus (swamp eel), 784 nucleotides long. RefSeq lists it as uncharacterized. The transcript is spliced from 3 exons. The record is from RefSeq and is a predicted model, not a curated record. Lineage: Eukaryota; Metazoa; Chordata; Actinopteri; Synbranchiformes; Synbranchidae.